AAUGACUGGUUUCACGUGUCCAUCCAUGUCUGAAUCAGCUGUUACUGUCCUUGUUGCAGUUUCUGUCCAUGGUGGUCUGAUAUCUCAAAGCUGAUCAAGUUCCUGGUGGGUCUCCUGUCUCAAGCAGUAGAGUGGGAGGAGCAGUCAGGAGAGAAGACACUGAAGCUGGUAUCAUCAGUGUGUACUUACAGAACCUUCCCUUUCUGUGACGGGGAUGAUGAGGAUGAGUGGUUUCAAUGUGAUCUCCUGCUGGAUCUGUACUCACAUGUGGAGGACUAUGAGACUAAAACAGGCAGGAGUGUCCUUCCAUCAUUGAGACCACUUUAUCAGUCAGCUCCUGCAGUCUGGUCCAUAGACCUCUCAGAGAGAAAGGCCUCCCUCCUCCUAGAAGUGCUGAAACUCCAACCAGAGAAGAAACCAGUACAGCUGAAAGGCUGGUCAGAUGAAGAGAGUGAAGUGAGGAGUUUCCUUCAGUGUCUGCCUUACAUCUCACAGCUGAGGUGAGUUGGAUCAGUACAGCUCAGGUGAGUUGGAUCAGUACAGCUCAGGUGAGUUGGAUCAGUACAGCUCAGGUGAGUUGGAUCAGUACAGCUCAGGUGAGUUGGAUCAGUACAGCUCAGGUGAGUUGGAUCAGUACAGCUCAGGUGAGUUGGAUCAGUACAGCUCAGGUGAGUUGGAUCAGUACAGCUCAGGGAUUGUUGUCUGUCCCUGUAUUUCACUUUUAAAAAGGAAGUUUGUUCGUAACAACCGAAUAUGCUAAACAUACACAUACUGUUUUGGAAAGAUACAAUCUUACUUUGUGGUGAUGAUUAUAAGGAACAGUUGAAGUGGAUGAUGAGUUUAGAAAGAUACAGUCUUACUUUGUGGUGAUGAUUAUAAGGAACAGUUGAAGUGGAUGAUGAGUUUAGAAAGAUAGUCAUGUUAUUUGACCUGCUAUAAUGUGACCAUCUGAAAUGCAGAUUAUAUCUCACAUAUUCAUCUAUUUGUUGUUAAACUGUUCAUGCAGUUUUACUCCACCACAGUAUCAGAGAAGAUCCCCUGAAGAGUGGAGAAAGAGAGAGAAGACAUUCCUACUGAAUCUGUGUCUUCAAGCAGCCCUCCAUGAGAGAGAAACCAUACAAACAACUGUAGGGAAAGUGUUGUCACUGUCUGAAGUUUAUCAGGGUCGGAAAUGGGAUCUCCUGCUGGAUCUGUACUCUCACGUGAAGGACUAUGAGACUAAAACAGGCAGGAGUGUCCUUCCAGCAUUACAGCCAGUUUACCAGUCAGCUCCUGCAGUCUGGUCCAUAGACCUCUCAGAGAGAAAGGCUUCCCUCCUCCUUGAAGUGCUGAAACUCCAACCAGAGAAGAAAUCAGUAGAGCUGUGGGACUGGUCAGAUGAAGAGAGUGAAGUGAGGAGUUUCCUUCAGUGUCUGCCCUACAUCUCACAGCUGAGUUUUACUCCACCACAGUAUCAGAGAAGAUCCCCUGAAGAGUGGAGAAAGAGAGAGAAGACAUUCCUACUGAAUCUGUGUCUUCAAGCAGCCCUCCAUGAGAGAGAAACCAUACAAACAACUGUAGGGAAAGUGUUGUCACUGUCUGAAGUUUAUCAGGGUCGGAAAUGGGAUCUCCUGCUGGAUCUGUACUCUCACGUGAAGGACUAUGAGACUAAAACAGGCAGGAGUGUCCUUCCAGCAUUACAGCCACUUUACCAGCCAGCUCCUGCAGUCUGGUUCAUAGAUCUCAGAAAGAGAAACGUCUCCCUCCUCCUAGAAGUGCUGAAACUCCAACCAGAGAAGAAAUCAGUAGAGCUGUGGGACUGGUCAGAUGAAGAGAGUGAAGUGAGGAGUUUCCUUCAGUGUCUGCCCUACAUCUCACAGCUGAGUUUUACUCCACCACAGUAUCAGAGAAGAUCCCCUGAAGAGUGGAGAAAGAGAGAGAAGACAUUCCUACUGAAUCUGUGUCUUCAAGCAGCCCUCCAUGAGAGAGAAACCAUACAAACAACUGUAGGGAAAGUGUUGUCACUGUCUGAAGUUUAUCACAAUCAGAAAUGGGAGCUCCUGCUGGAUCUGUAUUCUCAUGUGAAGGACUAUGAGACUCAAACAGGCAGGAGUGUCCUUCCAGCAUUACAGCCAGUUUACCAGUCAGCUCCUGCAGUCUGGUCCAUAGACCUCAGAAAGAGAAUGGUCUCCCUCCUCCUAGAAGUGCUGAAACUCCAACCAGAGAAGAAACCAGUACAGCUGAAAGGCUGGUCAGAUGAAGAGAGUGAAGUGAGGAGUUUCCUUCAGUGUCUGCCCUACAUCUCACAGCUGAGGUUUGCUCCACCACAGGAUCAGAUAGGAUCCCCUGAAGAGUGGAGAAAGAGAGAGAAGACAUUCCUACUGAAUCUGUGUCUUCAAGCAGCCCUCCAUGAGAGAGAAACCAUACAAACAACUGUAGAGAAAGUGUUGUCACUGUCUGAAGUUUAUCAGGGUCGGAAAUGGGAUCUCCUACUGGAUCUGUACUCUCAUGUGAAGGACUAUGAGACUCAAACAGGCAGGAGUGUCCUUCCAGCAUUACAGACAGUUUACCAGUCAGCUCCUGCAGUCUGGUCCAUAGACCUCAGAGAGAGAAAGGUCUCCCUCCUCCUAGAAGUGCUGAAACUCCAACCAGAGAAGAAAUCAGUAGAGCUGAAAGGCUGGUCAGAUGAAGAGAGUGAAGUGAGGUGUUUCCUUCAGUGUCUGCCCUACAUCUCACAGCUGAGGUGAGUCUGAACAUGUGUGGUGGUUAGUGAUUAUGUGAUGCUAGUGAUUGUCUUUUAGAAACCUGGUAAAUAUAAAAGUUCAAAUGUUGGUGAAUCUGGUAACAUUUAUAC
RNAcentral lists this long non-coding RNA (2833 nucleotides) under Oncorhynchus mykiss (rainbow trout). RNAcentral describes it as "lncRNA (ENSOMYG00000062152.1)". The record is from RNAcentral. Lineage: Eukaryota; Metazoa; Chordata; Actinopteri; Salmoniformes; Salmonidae.